ACACACACAUUGUGGGAUUCGUACACACAUUGUGGGAUUCGUAAACACAUAGCACGCGAAACACACACACAUCGUGGGAUUCGUACACACAUAGCACGCGAACCACACACAUUGUGGGAUUCGUAAACACAUAGCACGCGAAACACACACACAUCGUGGGAUUCGUAAACACAUAGCACGCGAAACACAAACACAUUCACCAAAUGUGUGUGUGAAUUGUUUUACGCGCAUUUGUAACGUGCUUCCAAUUACAAAUUCCCACUUACGAAUACAAAUUCCCACUUACGAAUGUGUGGAUCGUUUUGAUACCCGUCAUGCGCAACUGAGAAGAACACAUGCAUUUUUUUAACUGGAGCCCGUCUUCAGCCAAUCAGACGUCUUCUUCUUAAACAGCCAAUCACAAGGGCUGGGCUGUUUCGUUACGUCACUGCUGUGCGCCUUCAAGUCCGGCUGGAGAUUCCUUUUAGACUACGACGCAGUUCAUGCGGUUGUCGUGCGGUUGGUGUACAACAUGGAGAAGAGGUUCCAGGAGAUUUUCAAUUUUAUGUCUAGGGGUGAAUUCCCUAAUUUAUAGUGAAUCUCAGAAAUGUGCUUUAAGAAGAUAUAUGCAGAAGCUCAAACUGAAGGUCCCAAACAGAAGCACGAUCACUGUUUAAUGAAGUACACUCGGCUUCAAUUGGUGCACACACAGGCACUGUUAAAACCAGAUCCUCAAUGUACUCCAGAAAUUAUUGGGAUGGCAUGACGGUGGACAUUGACUGAUGGGUCUCUGAAUGCGACGGAUGUCAGAGGACUGGUAACUCUUUGGCUGUGUGUGACACAGCCAUUACAAAGCAUUAAGGUGUCUGCUGUUUGGGAGUUGGUUGGGAUAGACCUGACUGGGCCUCUCCCAAAAACCAAGGAUGGCUUUCAGUACAUUCUUACUGCCACCGAUUAUUUUUCCAAACACAGAUGCCCCCAAAGAAUCCUGUCCGACCAAGGAAGAGAAUUUGUCAAUUAGGAGUGUUACAGCUGCAUAUCAUCCUAAGACGAAUGGGCUGGAUGAGAGGACAAAUAGCAAACAUAAAACGGCAAGUUGUUGUUGGUGUUCUAAAAUGUAUAUCUAAUUGUACCCUUCUACUUCGUACAGCUCUUACAAAAUUGGUGAACGACCGACAGGAUUUGUUUGGUGGUUUGGCCUAUUCAGUAGAUAAUUUUGACCGGAUGGUCAUCUGGUCAAGUGCCGUAAAUAAUAACUUUUUUGAUUUAACAAUGUUGUGUUUUCAGUUAAAUUACUGUGGGCUGCAGAGGAUCAAGGCAAGGUGGAGGCUGUCGUUGGACCGUAUAAAUUAUACGACACAUCUUUUCAUACGCUAAAAGGCAACGGCUGGCUGUCUGAUGAAGUCAGUGGGAGCAAUAAGUGUUUAGCAAAUAACAAAGAUUCUUGCCUUUUGCCAAUUUUUUUAUUUUGCUAUGCAAGUAUUUGAUGCAUACAUGCAUAUCCUCAUUGAAAGGCAGCAGCCAAGUGCUGGAUAUAGUUUUUCUCAAUGCAUUUAUUUUUUGCCGGAGUAUAGUUGUAAUGUUGUUACCCCUUUUUUUAACAGGAGCCCAUUCACCAACUCUCUGCUGUGGUAGCUGGGAGUCUGCUUUUGGGAAAAUUUCAGCCUGUUAGAAAGGUAAUCCAUUUCAUGCCAAUAUUUAGCUAUAUUAUUUUAACGCCAGUAACCCAAAAUAACAAUAAUUUGGUAUUGUAUGUUCUUCAGAGGAAAUUCCCUGUUGAAAAAAAAAGUGUAUUUGUCCUGUCCUGUCCUGUAUGCGCUCAUUGGAUUUUAGUGGUUAGUGGGUUUCUUAUAUUUUCUUAAGACCUACCGAUUCUGGAAUGUAUUAUAUAUAGCUAUUAAUUUAGCUGAUGCCAUACAGAAGUUAAAUUUCAUUAGUAAGUUAACUACAUAAAUCUGUCAUUGUGCAGAAUUACACAAAGGAACUAACCUUUUAUAGAUUGUCCACAUUUCUAAGAGAACACUGGUGAUCAACGAUCCCUUGAGUAACGAGGACAAAUAUGAGCAAAAUCUUGCGGAAUUGGAGGAACUUCUUGAGGUUGGCGGGCCGUGAGUUCCAAAUAGAAACUUGGACUACCAAAACUGUGGCCCAUAACAAGCAGCAGAACAACAGUAGCUGUGGGGUUUUCACAUUAAAGUUUGCGGAAGAGUAUAUGGCCAAUGGAGAUCUCAGGCACAACCAGACCCACCUUCCCGAAGUUCUGAAGGCUCGAGGAGAUCUAGCCUGUGCCCUCCUACAGGCUGGGAGUCUGAGAUGUCUAUUUAAAUAAAAAAAAUGUCUCAAAACUUACUUGGUCUCCU
Molecule: long non-coding RNA, 2339 nt
Organism: Corythoichthys intestinalis (scribbled pipefish)
Lineage: Eukaryota; Metazoa; Chordata; Actinopteri; Syngnathiformes; Syngnathidae
Exons: 9
Source: RefSeq, a predicted model, not a curated record